RNAcentral lists this ribosomal RNA (464 nucleotides) under Vreelandella stevensii. Its description in RNAcentral is "partial 16S ribosomal RNA". It matches the Rfam family "Bacterial small subunit ribosomal RNA", at positions 338 to 795 of the family's 1533-position model. The record is from RNAcentral. Lineage: Bacteria; Pseudomonadati; Pseudomonadota; Gammaproteobacteria; Oceanospirillales; Halomonadaceae.
UCUACGGGUGGCUGCAGUGGGGAAUAUUGGACAAUGGGCGAAAGCCUGAUCCAGCCAUGCCGCGUGUGUGAAGAAGGCCUUCGGGUUGUAAAGCACUUUCAGUGGGGAAGAAAGCCUUGGGGCUAAUACCCUCGAGGAAGGACUCACCCACAGAAGAAGCACCGGCUAACUCCGUGCCAGCAGCCGCGGUAAUACGGAGGGUGCGAGCGUUAAUCGGAAUUACUGGGCGUAAAGCGCGCGUAGGCGGUCUGAUAAGCCGGUUGUGAAAGCCCCGGGCUCAACCUGGGAACGGCAUCCGGAACUGUCAGGCUAGAGUGCAGGAGAGGAAGGUAGAAUUCCCGGUGUAGCGGUGAAAUGCGUAGAGAUCGGGAGGAAUACCAGUGGCGAAGGCGGCCUUCUGGACUGACACUGACGCUGAGGUGCGAAAGCGUGGGUAGCAAACAGGAUUAGAUACCCCGGUAGUC